GACAGAAUGGCUGAAUAUAAGCGAUAAAUUGUAAAUUUAUUUAUGAAUAUAAAUUCUUCUGUCA
Molecule: transfer RNA, 64 nt
Filed under: Cucujoidea sp. 2 KM-2017
Lineage: Eukaryota; Metazoa; Arthropoda; Insecta; Coleoptera
Description: tRNA-Tyr
Source: RNAcentral